UUGAGCAGUUGCUGGGGCUGCUGGGAGCUGCGGUCUGUCAGUUAUAUAAUGAGCACUGUAGUGUGAUGCACAAUGUCAGAUAUACUGUAAUACUUCACAUUGUGGGGUAUUACGUAUAUAUCCCUUUUGGAAGCAUGAAACGAACAUCUCUAGUGACAUGUGGCUAUCUGGAUUCUGGUCAUCUCUUCUUGCACUCACAUACAGUGAGUUGCUGAGCCCAGCGACUGUGGUUGCUAGGUAACCGUAUGAUUUUAUCAGACCCCACUGCUCUGCAUGAGCUUCCCGAAAGUCCUGCCUCCGACCACCGAACUUGAUUGUUUGAGAACUGAGCAAUAUUCACACUUGUCUGGAAAUUCUGGAAUACUACCAAAUUUUGGGAAAAGUAGGACCAACCUUCCAGAUCCCUCUUUUCUGCCAUGUGAAGCUGGCAUUGUGAUAUAUGAGGCAUGAGGAUGUAGUGGGUGGGGUCUGAUGAUGCAAAUUGCAUCUAUCAUCAUCCCCACGGCACAUGCCUCUUGAACUUUCUCUCCAAUGAGUAAGGCAAUAUCACACUUAAGGAGGGUGGUCUGUAUGUGGUCAGGUAAAAACAAAAGAACACUGUAUGUAACAAUGGCUUCCGGCCAUUAAAAUAAAAAAAAAUGCAGAAAAAUGUUGGUUAUACACACUAAAUAAAAAGGGUGUAUAUGGAAAGAUGGUGUGAUUUACGUACAUUGAGCAUCUUUCAGUAGUGAAUUUAAAAUAUAUUCUGUUAAUUUGCUUUCUCACCUUAAGAUGAACGGGGACAGCUGUGAAGUAAUGAGGAAUAUUUAUUCAAAUUGUGCUGUCUGCCCAAAUGUACUGCAACUGAUAGCAGCCAAUCAGAUCCAACCAGACCCUUUUUAAAAAUGACAUUUAGAAAAUGAGCGCAAAAGUCUGAUGAGUUACAGCACAUUCGUGCUUAUUGAACCAUGAUAUUAAAUAAGUCAUUCUGUGAUAUUUGCAAAUCAUAGAAUACAUGUGAUACUAAUAGAUUAAUUUUUAGAUAUGAAGAACACUACGCAAUCUAAACAACCCAAAAUACAGAUUAUUUAUUUUACUUUGUGUUAACAGAUCUUAUACAAGUGUUUUGUAAGUAAGGGUAUUUUUUUAUUAGCUAUCUUAUGCUUGAAAUAUUUUAUAUAUAUAUAUAAAUAUAUUGGAACAAAGAACAAGACCGCGCAAUGAGAAAUAGAGUCUUUUGUAUUCAAUAUAAGUCCGAAAUGUAUGUUGCUGCAAUCCUCCUCCAGGAGCUACCGUACUCCUCAAGUCAUGUAAAAGAGAAAAUAUAUAUUAAUAUAUGUGUGUAUACUGCAUAUAUGAAACUUUCUUUAAUUUGCACGUAACUUAUCUGAAAAUCUGUGUUUCAUAAGCAGUUUAAUUUGUAGCAAAAUGGAGUUUCUUUAAAUAAAUAUAUUUUGUGAACAUUAAAGGGCCCUACACACUUGGCGAUAUCUUUGAAAGAUAUGAAAGAUAUCUUUAAAAAAUUAACGAUAAAUCUUCCACAUCUUUCAGUGUGUAUGCACAACGAUGAACAAUGUACGUCCCCGCAAUCAUUCAUUGUUGAUCGAUUAUCAUUUAAACAUGC
Pseudophryne corroboree (corroboree frog) is the source of this 1603-nucleotide long non-coding RNA. RefSeq lists it as uncharacterized. The record is from RefSeq and is a predicted model, not a curated record. Lineage: Eukaryota; Metazoa; Chordata; Amphibia; Anura; Myobatrachidae. The transcript has 4 exons.